GAUGAACGCUGGCGGCGUGCUUAACACAUGCAAGUCGAACGAUGAAGCCCAGCUUGCUGGGUGGAUUAGUGGCGAACGGGUGAGUAACACGUGAGUAACCUGCCCUUAACUCUGGGAUAAGCCUGGGAAACUGGGUCUAAUACCGGAUAGGAGCGCCUACCGCAUGGUGGGUGUUGGAAAGAUUUAUCGGUCUUGGAUGGACUCGCGGCCUAUCAGCUUGUUGGUGAGGUAAUGGCUCACCAAGGCGACGACGGGUAGCCGGCCUGAGAGGGUGACCGGCCACACUGGGACUGAGACACGGCCCAGACUCCUACGGGAGGCAGCAGUGGGGAAUAUUGCACAAUGGGCGAAAGCCUGAUGCAGCGACGCCGCGUGAGGGAUGACGGCCUUCGGGUUGUAAACCUCUUUCAGUAGGGAAGAAGCGAAAGUGACGGUACCUGCAGAAGAAGCACCGGCUAACUACGUG
This 466-nucleotide ribosomal RNA is filed under the name uncultured bacterium. RNAcentral describes it as "partial 16S ribosomal RNA". It matches the Rfam family "Bacterial small subunit ribosomal RNA", at positions 28 to 507 of the family's 1533-position model. The record is from RNAcentral.